AAAAAGAUAAGCUAAAUAAGCUCUUAGGUUCAUACCCUUUUUAUGAAAGUUUUAAUCUUUCUCUUUUUA
Molecule: transfer RNA, 69 nt
Filed under: Vincenzellus ruficollis
Lineage: Eukaryota; Metazoa; Arthropoda; Insecta; Coleoptera; Salpingidae
Description: tRNA-Met
Rfam family: tRNA
About the family: Transfer RNA (tRNA) molecules are approximately 80 nucleotides in length. Their secondary structure includes four short double-helical elements and three loops (D, anti-codon, and T loops).
Source: RNAcentral